RNAcentral lists this ribosomal RNA (253 nucleotides) under uncultured bacterium. Its description in RNAcentral is "partial 16S ribosomal RNA". It matches the Rfam family "Bacterial small subunit ribosomal RNA", at positions 524 to 776 of the family's 1533-position model. The record is from RNAcentral.
UACAGAGGUCUCGAGCGUUGUUCGGAUUCAUUGGGCGUAAAGGGCGCGUAGGCGGCGGGGUAAGUCUGGUGUGAAAUCUCGGAGCUCAACUCCGAAAUUGCACUGGAUACUGCUCUGCUAGAGGGCUGGAGAGGAGAUCGGAAUUCACGGUGUAGCAGUGAAAUGCGUAGAUAUUCGGAAGAACACCAGUGGCGAAGGCGACUCACUGGCCCGUUACUGACGCUGAGGCGCGAAAGCGUGGGGAGCAAACAGG